GCCGUGCACAGUCCCGUUGGGAAAGAUCUCUAGGUGGAAGCCGGUCCGGCAGUAGAGCUGUCUUCGCCGCAGGAUCCCCUUGAGACCUCGCUGUUCAUCUGGCAGAGGACAGAACUGAGACCCAGAGGGGCCCAGCCACUUCGGAGACUGUGUGCUCCUGCUCCGGGGAGCAGGGCCUGUUUCACUUUUGCCUUUGUGUCCCAGCGCGAACCACGGUGUGGGGCACUUAGUAGGCGCUUAAUAAACACUUGUUGAUCACUACACAGGCCUCUUGAGAGCAGAAUAUACGCAAGGAGGCUUGAAGCCUGUUGUGGGCUUUUCUUCCACCUUUUUCAUGAGGGAAACAGGUGUUUCCUAGCUCUCUCCUGUGCUCGGCUCCCUGACACUCUAUCUGCAGCAGCUGCAGCCGCCGCUGGCAAGGGCUGGAGAGAA
Long non-coding RNA from Phascolarctos cinereus (koala), 432 nucleotides. RefSeq lists it as uncharacterized. The record is from RefSeq and is a predicted model, not a curated record. Lineage: Eukaryota; Metazoa; Chordata; Mammalia; Diprotodontia; Phascolarctidae.